This 795-nucleotide ribosomal RNA is filed under the name uncultured Pelagibacteraceae bacterium. RNAcentral's name for it is "bacterial SSU rRNA". It matches the Rfam family "Bacterial small subunit ribosomal RNA", at positions 35 to 878 of the family's 1533-position model. Lineage: Bacteria; Pseudomonadati; Pseudomonadota; Alphaproteobacteria; Candidatus Pelagibacterales; Candidatus Pelagibacteraceae. The record is from RNAcentral.
GCUGGCGGCACGCCUAAUACAUGCAAGUCGAACGCAGUAGCAAUACUGAGUGGCAAACGGGUGAGUAUAAUGUGGGAAUCUGCCUUUUGGUUCGGAAUAACACGGGGAAACUUGUGCUAAUACCGGAUAAGCCUUCACAGGGAAAGUUUUAAUGCCAAAAGAUGAGCCCGCACUUGAUUAGCUAGUUGGUGAGGUAAAAGCUCACCAAGGCAACGAUCAAUAGCUGUUCUUAGAGGAAGACCAGCCACAUUGGGACUGAGACACGGCCCAGACUCCUACGGGAGGCAGCAGUAGGGAAUCUUGCACAAUGGGGGAAACCCUGAUGCAGCGAUGCCGCGUGAGUGAAGAAGGCCUUUGGGUUGUAAAACUCUUUCGUCGGGGAAGAAAAUGACUGUACCCGAAUAAGAAGGUCCGGCUAACUUCGUGCCAGCAGCCGCGGUAAUACGAAGGGACCUAGCGUAGUUCGGAAUUACUGGGCUUAAAGAGCUCGUAGGUGGUUAAAAAAGUUGAUGGUGAAAUCCCAAGGCUCAACCUUGGAACUGCCAUCAAAACUUUUUAGCUAGAGUGUGAUAGAGGAAAGUGGAAUUUCUAGUGUAGAGGUGAAAUUCGUAGAUAUUAGAAAGAACACCAAAUGCGAAGGCAACUUUCUGGAUCAUUACUGACACUGAGGAGCGAAAGCAUGGGUAGCGAAGAGGAUUAGAUACCCUCGUAGUCCAUGCCGUAAACGAUGUGUGCUAGACGUUGGAAACAUAGUUUUCAGUGUCGCAGCGAAAGCAUUAAGCACACCGCCUGGGG